This 253-nucleotide ribosomal RNA is filed under the name uncultured bacterium. Its description in RNAcentral is "partial 16S ribosomal RNA". It matches the Rfam family "Bacterial small subunit ribosomal RNA", at positions 524 to 776 of the family's 1533-position model. The record is from RNAcentral.
UACAGAGGGUGCGAGCGUUAAUCGGAAUUACUGGGCGUAAAGCGUGCGUAGACGGUUAUCUAAGUCGGGUGUGAAAGCCCCGGGCUCAACCUGGGAAUUGCAUUCGAGACUGAAUAGCUAGGGUACGGUAGAGGGAAGUGGAAUUUCCGGUGGAGCGGUGAAAUGCGUAGAGAUCGGAAAGAACACCAACGGCGAAAGCACUCUGCUGGGCCGACACUGACACUGAGAGACGAAAGCUAGGGGAGCGAAUGGG